GACGAACGCUGGCGGCGUGCUUAACACAUGCAAGUCGAACGGAAAGGCCCUGCUUUUGUGGGGUGCUCGAGUGGCGAACGGAUGAGUAACAAGUGAGUAACCUGCCCUUGACUUUGGGAUAACUUCAGGAAACUGGGGCUAAUACAGGAUAGGAGCUCCUGCUGCAUGGCGGGGGUUGGAAAGGUUCGGCGGUCGGGGAUGGACUCGCGGCUUAGCAAUUUGCUGGUGGGGUAGUGGCUUACCAAGGCAUUGACGGGUAGCCGGCCUGAGAGGGUGACCGGCCACAUUAGGACUGAGAUACGGCCCAGAGUCCUACGGGAGGCAGCAGUGGGGGAUAUUGCACGAUGGGCGGAAGCCUGGUGCAGCAACGCCGCGUGCGGGAUGACAGCCUUCUGGUUGUAGACCGCUUUCGCCUGUGACGAAGCGUGAGUGACGGUAAUGGGUAAAGAAGCACCGGCUAACUACGUG
Molecule: ribosomal RNA, 468 nt
Filed under: uncultured bacterium
Lineage: Bacteria
Description: partial 16S ribosomal RNA
Rfam family: Bacterial small subunit ribosomal RNA
Source: RNAcentral